This 253-nucleotide ribosomal RNA is filed under the name uncultured bacterium. RNAcentral describes it as "partial 16S ribosomal RNA". It matches the Rfam family "Bacterial small subunit ribosomal RNA", at positions 524 to 776 of the family's 1533-position model. The record is from RNAcentral.
UACGGAGGGUCCAAGCGUUAUCCGGAAUCAUUGGGUUUAAAGGGUCCGUAGGCGGUUUUGUAAGUCAGUGGUGAAAGCCCAUCGCUCAACGGUGGAACGGCCAUUGAUACUGCAAGACUUGAAUUAUUGGGAAGUAACUAGAAUAUGUAGUGUAGCGGUGAAAUGCUUAGAGAUUACAUGGAAUACCAAUUGCGAAGGCAGGUUACUACUAAUUGAUUGACGCUGAUGGACGAAAGCGUGGGGAGCGAACAGG